This 371-nucleotide ribosomal RNA is filed under the name uncultured Glomeromycotina. RNAcentral describes it as "SSU rRNA". It matches the Rfam family "Eukaryotic small subunit ribosomal RNA", at positions 569 to 944 of the family's 1831-position model. The record is from RNAcentral. Lineage: Eukaryota; Fungi; Glomeromycota.
AGCAGCCGCGGUAAUUCCAGCUCCAAUAGCGUAUAUUAAAGUUGUUGCAGUUAAAAAGCUCGUAGUUGAAUUUCGGGGUCUGUCCAUUGGUCGGGCUUCACGGUCCGUACUGGUGUGAUGGGUUCCUACCUUCUGAAUAACCAGCAUGCCAUUCAGUUGGUGCGCCGGGGAAGCAGAGCUAUUACCUUGAAAAAUUAGAGUGCUUAAAGCAGGCUAGUGCUUGAAUAGAUUAGCAUGGAAUAAUAAAAUAGGACGGCAUGGUUCUAUUUUGUUGGUUUCUAGGAUCACCGUAAUGAUUAAUAGGGAUAGUUGGGGCAUUAGUAUUCAAUUGUCAGAGGUGAAAUUCUUGGAUUUAUUGAAGACUAAACUUC